AUGUUGGCCAAAUCAUGGGCAACCAAAACCUCAACCAAAAUUUUGGCAAGCCAAUGCUUUGGUGGGGCAACCUUGGGCACAAACCAAACACACCCUAAUUCAUUUUUCUUGCCAAUGUCGGACAGCUCAUGGACGACCAAAAUUUUGGCUAGCCAAUGUUUUAAUGGGACAACUUUGGGCAUAAACCAAACAGACAUAGUAAACCAGGAUGUAAGCCCAGCCACUUAUAUGGAAACCAGAAGUUAUUGUUCUGGGGAUCUCAUACAAUGUGAAAUGACACAAAGGUCAAUACUUGGGUUCAGGUUGAGUGUUGGGUCAUUAAACACAGAAAUUUCUACUAGCUGUUGGUUGUACUUGAGAAACAAUUAA
This 369-nucleotide ribosomal RNA is filed under the name Triticum aestivum (bread wheat). RNAcentral's name for it is "partial small subunit ribosomal RNA". Lineage: Eukaryota; Viridiplantae; Streptophyta; Magnoliopsida; Poales; Poaceae. The record is from RNAcentral.